UACGAGAGGCCCAAACGUUAUUCGGAUUUACUGGGCUUAAAGAGUUCGUAGGCGGCACGGCAAGUAGGGUGUGAAAGCCCUCGGCUCAACCGAGGAAUUGCGCUCUAAACUGUCGUGCUUGAGGAACCUAGAGGUGAGCAGAACUGAUGGUGGAGCGGUGAAAUGCGUUGAUAUCAUCAGGAAUACCGGAGGCGAAGGCGGCUCACUGGGGGUUUUCUGACGCUGAGGAACGAAAGCCAGGGGAGCGAACGGG
Molecule: ribosomal RNA, 253 nt
Filed under: uncultured bacterium
Lineage: Bacteria
Description: partial 16S ribosomal RNA
Rfam family: Bacterial small subunit ribosomal RNA
Source: RNAcentral